Musa acuminata AAA Group (dessert banana) is the source of this 728-nucleotide long non-coding RNA. RefSeq lists it as uncharacterized. The record is from RefSeq and is a predicted model, not a curated record. The transcript has 5 exons. NCBI's taxonomy places the organism in Eukaryota, Viridiplantae, Streptophyta, Magnoliopsida, Zingiberales, Musaceae.
CAAACGGCGCCCGAGUCGGCAAAUUGAGAAAUGCUAAUCAACAUCCUCCCACGAGGGCCCAGUCGACUCUGCCAGCCUGACUCUUACCCGAGUCACUCCGAAACGAUCACCCCGGAGCGGCGAGCGUUCCAACCCAAGAGAUACCUUCCAUCGCACAAAGGAGAGCAGUGAGUUGGCCCAGAUCCCGACCAACGCCGACCAACAUUUCUUCUCAAUGGCACGACCGCAUCAUCAUUCUACUCACCCCAUAAGAAGCUCCGAACAUUGAUCCGUAGAUCUAAUCGUACUGACUCAUUGCCACGAUACUUUUGUUUACUGAUAAACGGAGAAUCAACGAUGGCGUCCACCAAAAGUCCAGAGGAUCAUGACACAGCCCAGCAAUCUAAUUUUCAGCCUCCUCCAAAGCAAAGCUCGCAUCUAAAUAUGGCUUUUUGAGCAGAAGGAUUUGAGGAUUGAGGGGCGCAUCAUUGGUUUUGAUGAAUACAUGAAUUUGGUCUAGGAUGAAGCUGAAGAACUCAAUGUCAAACAGAAAAAAAAGAAAAGCCAGAGAACCAUUGGGGAAUCAUGGAGUCAAUAACAGCAGCAGCCAUGGAUGGUUAAAGCACUUGAGAUGAGACCUCCAAAUAUAUUGUGUCUUCUUCUUGUGCUUCCCGUGACAGUGGGAGGAAAUAUUCCAACUUCGUUGUCGAAAACAAAGAUUCAUCACAAUAUAUUCCACCGAAUAUAAU